AUGGUUAAGUGACUAAGCGUAUACGGUGGAUGCCUAGGCAGUCAGAGGCGAUGAAGGACGUGUUAAUCUGCGUUAAGCUGUGGGGAGUUGAUAAAAAGCGUUAAUCCACAGAUUUCCGAAUGGGGGAACCCACCUUACUUUGUAAGGUAUCGUAACGUGAAUACAUAGCGUUACGAAGCGAACCGGGAGAACUGAAACAUCUAAGUACCCCGAGGAAAAGAAAUCAAUAGAGAUACCCUUAGUAGCGGCGAGCGAACGGGGUCUAGCCCUUAAGCAGUUUGGAAGUUAAUGGAAGGCUCUGGAAAGUGCCACGAUACAGGGUGAUAGUCCCGUACAUGAAAACGACCUUAUUGUGAAAUCGAGUAGGACGGCACACGUGAUAUGCUGUUUGAAUAUGGGAGGACCAUCUUCCAAGGCUAAAUACUACUGACUGACCGAUAGUGAACCAGUACCGUGAGGGAAAGGCGAAAAGAACCCCUGUGAGGGGAGUGAAAUAGAACCUGAAACCGUAUACGUACAAGCAGUGGGAGCCUACUUUGUUGGGUGACUGCGUACCUUUUGUAUAAUGGGUCAACGACUUAAUUUCAGUAGCAAGGUUAAGCGAAUAGCGGAGCCGUAGGGAAACCGAGUGUUAACUGCGCGAAUAGUUGCUGGGAUUAGACCCGAAACCCGGUGAUCUAGCCAUGGGCAGGUUGAAGGUUGAGUAACAUCAACUGGAGGACCGAACCGACUAAUGUUGAAAAAUUAGCGGAUGACUUGUGGCUGGGGGGUGAAAGCCAAUCAAACCGGGAGAUAGCUGGUCUCUCGAAAGCUAUUUAGUAGCGC
Molecule: ribosomal RNA, 825 nt
Filed under: Moritella sp. PE36
Lineage: Bacteria; Pseudomonadati; Pseudomonadota; Gammaproteobacteria; Alteromonadales; Moritellaceae
Description: bacterial LSU rRNA
Rfam family: Bacterial large subunit ribosomal RNA
Source: RNAcentral